Molecule: ribosomal RNA, 378 nt
Filed under: uncultured eukaryote
Lineage: Eukaryota
Description: partial 18S ribosomal RNA
Rfam family: Eukaryotic small subunit ribosomal RNA
Source: RNAcentral
CAAUAGCGUAUAUUUAAGUUGUUGCAGUUAAAAAGCUCGUAGUUGGAUUUCGGGUGGGACGCAGCGGUCUCGCAUUGCGUUUGUACUGCUGCGGCCCUCCUUCUUGCCGGGGGCGGCCUCUCGGACUUCACUGUCUGGGGGUCAGAAUCGGCGAUGUUACUUUGAGUAAAUUAGAGUGUUCAAAGCAAGCUUACGCUCUGAAUAUAAUAGCAUGGGAUAACACGACAGGACUCUGGCCUAUCGUGUUGGUCUAUAGGACCAGAGUAAUGAUUAAGAGGGACAGUCGGGGGCAUUCGUAUUCCGUUGUCAGAGGUGAAAUUCUUGGAUUUACGGAAGACGAACAUCUGCGAAAGCAUUUGCCAAGGAUGUUUUCAUUGA